AAGGAUCAUUACUGUGAUUUAGUACUACACUGCGUGAGCGGAACGAAAACAAAAACACCUAAAAUGUGGAAUAUAGCAUAUAGUCGACAAGAGAAAUCUACGAAAAACAAACAAAACUUUCAACAACGGAUCUCUUGGUUCUCGCAUCGAUGAAGAGCGCAGCGAAAUGCGAUACCUAGUGUGAAUUGCAGCCAUCGUGAAUCAUCGAGUUCUUGAACGCACAUUGCGCCCCUCGGCAUUCCGGGGGGCAUGCCUGUUUGAGCGUCGUUUCCAUCUUGCGCGUGCGCAGAGUUGGGGGAGCGGAGCGGACGACGUGUAAAGAGCGUCGGAGCUGCGACUCGCCUGAAAGGGAGCGAAGCUGGCCGAGCGAACUAGACUUUUUUUCAGGGACGCUUGGCGGCCGAGAGCGAGUGUUGCGAGACAACAAAAAGCUCGACCUCAAAUCAGGUAGGAAUACCCGCUGAACUUAA
Molecule: ribosomal RNA, 470 nt
Filed under: Pichia kudriavzevii
Lineage: Eukaryota; Fungi; Ascomycota; Pichiomycetes; Pichiales; Pichiaceae
Description: eukaryotic LSU rRNA
Rfam family: 5.8S ribosomal RNA (bases 115-267)
Source: RNAcentral